GGAGGUUGCCAGGCGGCCGCUUUGGGUAUUUAUUUACCCGCAGAGGAAAGUCCGGACACCACAGAGCAGGGAGGUCGCUAACGGCGACCGGGGGCGACCCCAGGGAUAGGACCACAGAAAAGAGACCGCCUGCGCUUUUUGCCUUCGGGUUCUGAAGCGCGGGUAAGGGUGAAAUGGCGGGGUAAGAGCCCACCAGCCUGCCGGGUGACCGGCAGGGCUAGGCAACCCCCUCCCGAUGCAAAGCCGAAUAGGUUCCGUUUUAAGGGUUGCUCGCCCUUGUUCUUCUCCAGGGAAGGCGGCGAAACGGGUAGGCUGCUUGAGCGUACUGGCAACGGUACGCCUAGAUGAAUGGUCGCCGCUUCGCAACCGCGAAGUUACAGGAUCCGGCUUACGGCAGCCUCCAGCA
Molecule: RNase P RNA, 406 nt
Filed under: Pseudomonadota bacterium
Lineage: Bacteria; Pseudomonadati; Pseudomonadota
Description: Proteobacteria bacterium (cold seep metagenome) RNase P RNA component class A
Rfam family: Bacterial RNase P class A
About the family: Ribonuclease P (RNase P) is a ubiquitous endoribonuclease, found in archaea, bacteria and eukarya as well as chloroplasts and mitochondria.
Source: RNAcentral